Molecule: long non-coding RNA, 294 nt
Filed under: Eucalyptus grandis
Lineage: Eukaryota; Viridiplantae; Streptophyta; Magnoliopsida; Myrtales; Myrtaceae
Description: long non-coding RNA (EGRA_LNC004358)
Source: RNAcentral
UCGAGAAGACAAACUCUUUAGCAGAGAGAGAGAGAGAGAGAGAGAGAGAGAGGUGGGAUGGGAGUACAAAGAUGAUGUUGAUGAUGCACGUAAAAAAGAGAAGAGGAGGGGGUGUUGGAGAUUGAGACUGAUGACUGACGGCUGAUGACUGAGAGAUGAAGGGAGGAAGGAGUAAAUGCAAAUCCACUCUGAUUUAGCAAAUAACUAAAAUCAAAGACAGGAAAGGCCAUAGAAAAGAAAAAAGAAACCGAGAGAGAGAGAGAGAGAGAGAGAGCUAUUUCCAUAAAGUCCCAA